GCAGUCGAGCGGAUUGAUGGGAGCUUGCUCCCUGAAAUCAGCGGCGGACGGGUGAGUAACACGUGGGUAACCUGCCUGUAAGACUGGGAUAACUCCGGGAAACCGGGGCUAAUACCGGAUAGUUCUUUUCCUCGCAUGAGGAAAAGUGGAAAGGCGGCUUCGGCUGCCACUUACAGAUGGACCCGCGGCGCAUUAGCUAGUUGGUGAGGUAACGGCUCACCAAGGCAACGAUGCGUAGCCGACCUGAGAGGGUGAUCGGCCACACUGGGACUGAGACACGGCCCAGACUCCUACGGGAGGCAGCAGUAGGGAAUCUUCCGCAAUGGACGAAAGUCUGACGGAGCAACGCCGCGUGAGUGAUGAAGGUUUUCGGAUCGUAAAGCUCUGUUGUUAGGGAAGAACAAGUGCCGUUCGAAUAGGGCGGCACCUUGACGGUACCUAACCAGAAAGCCACGGCUAACUACGUGCCAGCAGCCGCGGUAAUACGUAGGUGGCAAGCGUUGUCCGGAAUUAUUGGGCGUAAAGCGCGCGCAGGCGGUCUCUUAAGUCUGAUGUGAAAGCCCACGGCUCAACCGUGGAGGGUCAUUGGAAA
Molecule: ribosomal RNA, 592 nt
Filed under: Bacillus sp. CH360_12T
Lineage: Bacteria; Bacillati; Bacillota; Bacilli; Caryophanales; Bacillaceae
Also listed under: 1 other name
Description: bacterial SSU rRNA
Rfam family: Bacterial small subunit ribosomal RNA
Source: RNAcentral